This 253-nucleotide ribosomal RNA is filed under the name uncultured bacterium. Its description in RNAcentral is "partial 16S ribosomal RNA". It matches the Rfam family "Bacterial small subunit ribosomal RNA", at positions 524 to 776 of the family's 1533-position model. The record is from RNAcentral.
UACGUAGGGCGCAAGCGUUGUCCGGAAUUAUUGGGCGUAAAGAGCUCGUAGGCGGUCUGUUGCGUCGGCUGUGAAAACCCGGGGCUCAACUCCGGGCCUGCAGCCGAUACGGGCAGACUAGAGUUCGGCAGGGGAGACUGGAAUUCCUGGUGUAGCGGUGAAAUGCGCAGAUAUCAGGAGGAACACCGGUGGCGAAGGCGGGUCUCUGGGCCGAUACUGACGCUGAGGAGCGAAAGCGUGGGGAGCGAACAGG